This 468-nucleotide ribosomal RNA is filed under the name uncultured bacterium. Its description in RNAcentral is "partial 16S ribosomal RNA". It matches the Rfam family "Bacterial small subunit ribosomal RNA", at positions 28 to 507 of the family's 1533-position model. The record is from RNAcentral.
GAUGAACGCUGGCGGCGUGCUUAACACAUGCAAGUCGAACGGCAAGGCCCUGCUUUUGUGGGGUGCUCGAGUGGCGAACGGGUGAGUAACACGUGAGUAACCUGCCCUUGACUUUGGGAUAACUUCAGGAAACUGGGGCUAAUACCGGAUAGGAGCUCCUGCUGCAUGGUGGGGGUUGGAAAGUUUCGGCGGUUGGGGAUGGACUCGCGGCUUAUCAGCUUGUUGGUGGGGUAGUGGCUUACCAAGGCUUUGACGGGUAGCCGGCCUGAGAGGGUGACCGGCCACAAUGGGACUGAGAGACGGCGCAGUCGCCUACGGGAGACAACAGGGGGAAAUAUGGCACAAUGAGCGGAAGCCUGAUAAGGCAACGCUGGGGGCGGAAUGACGGCCUGCGGGGUAAGAACCGCUUUCGCCUGAGACGAAGCGUGAGUGACGGUAAUGGGUGAAGAAGCACCGGCUAACUACGUG